This is a long non-coding RNA of Helianthus annuus (common sunflower), 738 nucleotides long. RefSeq lists it as uncharacterized. The transcript is spliced from 5 exons. Lineage: Eukaryota; Viridiplantae; Streptophyta; Magnoliopsida; Asterales; Asteraceae. The record is from RefSeq and is a predicted model, not a curated record.
CAGUUCUGGCGACGUCUUCGGCAGCACCCUCGGUGACAAUGGUGGCUGUUGUCACCAUUAUUGAAUUUCUAAUAUCAAGACUGUUGUGUCUGGUCUUUGUAUAAUUCACAUAAUUGGUAAUUAUUAACUUUCUUUAUAUUUAUUUCAUGGACACCUGUUGCCUUUCAGUAUGGAACUGGAGCGAUCUGAUGUUUUUUAGCCAAGACUCUGUCAAACUCGGUGACCUGGUUGUAAAAGGGCGGGAUUUUAUAGAGGCAACCGGAGAGAACUUAGCAUCACUUUCUUGGCAGCCAAGUUAGAUUGUAUACUUGAUCUUGGACUUCCGGCGAUAUCUGUUGGGAAAGCUGUACCUGUUUGGUAGGUGUAGGUAUCUGAAUGCGUUGACAUAGUCACUCAAACAAGCAUUGUUCAAGAUCUUGAUGAUAGACGUCAGGAGCUUCCCCUGUGUAUUCUGCUUCCCCUGUGUAUUCUGAAGCAACUUCACAAGAAGCAUCAGGAAGCAUCAACAACAGAUUGAAGGGGGGAUUUUUCCGGUCGUUUGAGUCCAACUGCACUGGAAUCAGCUGAACUGUUUGUUCAUAUACCUUUUGGUGCUAGAAUGUUUAAUAAUGACAUGAUUUUAAGAAGAAAAUUAGAGGAACGGGAAUUACACCAAGCGAUCGAACUCCAAGAUAGAAGAUUAAUGAAUCUGCAGUUGGCUGAUGCAAAACACCGUCUGUUUCAACGGAGUUUAUCUCU